This 472-nucleotide ribosomal RNA is filed under the name uncultured bacterium. RNAcentral describes it as "bacterial SSU rRNA". It matches the Rfam family "Bacterial small subunit ribosomal RNA", at positions 329 to 793 of the family's 1533-position model. The record is from RNAcentral.
UUCCAGACUCCUCGGGAGGCAGCAGUGGGGAAUAUUGCACAAUGGGCGCAAGCCUGAUGCAGCCAUGCCGCGUGUGUGAAGAAGGCCUUCGGGUUGUAAAGCACUUUCAGCGGGGAGGAAGGCAAUAAGGUUAAUAACCUUGUUGAUUGACGUUACCCGCAGAAGAAGCACCGGCUAACUCCGUGCCAGCAGCCGCGGUAAUACGGAGGGUGCAAGCGUUAAUCGGAAUUACUGGGCGUAAAGCGCACGCAGGCGGUCUGUCAAGUCGGAUGUGAAAUCCCCGGGCGCAACCUGGGAACUGCAUUCGAAACUGGCAGGCUAGAGUCUUGUAGAGGGGGGUAGAAUUCCAGGUGUAGCGGUGAAAUGCGUAGAGAUCUGGAGGAAUACCGGUGGCGAAGGCGGCUCCCUGGACAAAGACUGACGCUCAGGUGCGAAAGCGUGGGGAGCAAACAGGAUUAGAUACCCCUGUAAA